RNAcentral lists this non-coding RNA (28 nucleotides) under Rattus norvegicus (Norway rat). The record is from RNAcentral. Lineage: Eukaryota; Metazoa; Chordata; Mammalia; Rodentia; Muridae.
UAAGAAUUCAUCUCUACCUAAUUAAAAA